RNAcentral lists this ribosomal RNA (482 nucleotides) under uncultured bacterium. RNAcentral describes it as "bacterial SSU rRNA". It matches the Rfam family "Bacterial small subunit ribosomal RNA", at positions 29 to 508 of the family's 1533-position model. The record is from RNAcentral.
AUUGAACGCUGGCGGCAUGCCUUACACAUGCAAGUCGAACGCGAAAGGGGGCAACCCCGAGUAGAGUGGCGAACGGGUGAGCAAUACAUCGGAACAUUUCCUGUAGCGGGGGACAACCUCGAGAAAUCGAGGCUAAUACCGCAUACGAUCUACGGAUGAAAGUGGGGGACCGCAAGGCCUCACACUAUAGGAGUGGCCGAUGCCGGAUUAGCUAGUUGGUGGGGUAACGGCCUACCAAGGCGACGAUCCGUAGCUGGUUUGAGAGAACGACCAGCCACACUGGGACUGAGACACGGCCCAGACUCCUACGGGAGGCAGCAGUGGGGAAUUUUGGACAAUGGGCGAAAGCCUGAUCCAGCCAUGCCGCGUGAGUGAAGAAGGCCUUCGGGUUGUAAAGCUCUUUCGGCGGGGACGAAAUGGCGCGGACGAACAUUCCGCGUCGAUGACGGUACCCGAAGAAGAAGGACCGGCUAACUACGUGC